Molecule: ribosomal RNA, 253 nt
Filed under: uncultured bacterium
Lineage: Bacteria
Description: partial 16S ribosomal RNA
Rfam family: Bacterial small subunit ribosomal RNA
Source: RNAcentral
UACGAAGGGGGCUAGCGUUGCUCGGAAUCACUGGGCGUAAAGGGUGCGUAGGCGGGUCUUUAAGUCAGGGGUGAAAUCCUGGAGCUCAACUCCAGAACUGCCUUUGAUACUGAAGGUCUUGAGUUCGGGAGAGGUGAGUGGAACUGCGAGUGUAGAGGUGAAAUUCGUAGGUAUUCGCAAGAACACCAGUGGCGAAGGCGGGUCUCUGGGCCGAUACUGACGCUGAGGAGCGAAAGCCAGGGGAGCAAACGGG